GAGGUGGGCCUGACUGCCUGUCCAGAGAGAGAGGGAGAAAUGGGGCAGGUGCUUCGGUGCAGCAACGGCCAAUUGCAGGGUAGAGGGCAGGGCUGGUCAGGGGGAGGGUAUCAAAACCAGAAUUGUAUUUAAGGCGUGGGCAAACACUGGAGAUGUCUACUUGUGCUGUGCCCCUGUCCAGUCGGCCAGUUUCUCUCUCUCUCUCCUUGUCUUUCUGUCUGUCUGCCUGUUUUUCUCUCUGCCGGACCAGGUCUCCUCCACCAUGCUGGUAAAAGCUCUCCUUCAGACCUCGCUGGUCCUAUGGCUGGCACAGCACACACUACAAGGAGGAGUGAAACCUCAAAGUGGCGGUAUGGGAAAAAUGCUACCCAGGGGUAAGUGCAAUUAUUAGUCUCUGUAUGUCUGUCUGUCUGUCUCCCCCACCCCACAUCUCUCUCUCUCUCUCUCUGUAUGUCUGUCUGUCUGUCUUUCUCCCCCACCCCACAUCUCUCUCUCUCUCUCUCUCUCUCUCUCUCUCUCUCUCUCUCCUCUCUCCUCUCUCCUUACACUGCUGUGCUAUGGUGCUCACUGAUCACUGAUGUCUCACAUCUCCCUGUGGAACUUCCACCAACAAUCAGCCCCUAACAGAUUCUGUCUUAUCUCAGGACUGCACUCAAUUGACCCGUCUUGAGCAUGGUCUAAACUCAUUUGCUCAACUAAAUAUAGCUUCUGCUUAAGUUGUCUGGCAUUUUUAGAAUUAAUUAUAAACGGAAAGUGGUGAGAAAUCUGACUUAGAUUCUGUCUUGCAAUGCUCAUCCUCCAUAUUAAUGAUUUAAUAUAGACUCGUGAUACAACGUUUAGAUUUUUUUCCCACCAUAGAGAAACAUGCUCCACUAUGGUGCAUCACUGAUCACUGACGUCUCACAUCUCCCUGUGGUGUCUUGUGGUCUUCCAGGGGCUGGUGCUCUUGGGAUACAGGGAGGCUAUGGAGCCAAGCCCGCCAAAACCGGAGGAGCUGGGGGUAAUAUUGAUUGAUUGCCAUAUUUAUAUUUUUAGUGCUGCCAAUCAUCAUUUGUGAUUUAAUUUAUGUACCAUCAUGACCUGUCUUUCUAAUGAAUCACAGGUGGUCGUUAUCCAGGGGGGGCUCAGCAGCUUGGAGGAGGUGAGUUUCUCAAAGAUAGAGCUAAACCACGUACACUGAGUCUACUGUACCAAACAUUAGGAACCCCCCCCCGCCCUAAAUUCACCUGGACAUGGACUCUACAAGGUGUUCAAAGUGUUCCACAGGGAUGCUGGCCCAUGUUGACUCCAAUGUUUCCUACAGUUGUGUCAAGUUGGCUGGAUGUCUUUUGGGUGGUGGACCAUUCUUGAUAAACACGGCAAACUGUUGAGCAUGAAAAACCCAGCAGCGUUGCCGUUCUUGACACAAAUCGGUGUGCCUGGCACCUACUACUACCCUGUUCAAAGGCACUUCAAUCUUUUGUCUUGCCCAUUCACCCUCUGAAAGGCACACAUACACAAUCCAUGUCUCAAGGCUUAAAAACCAUUAUUUAACCUUCAUCUACACUGAUUGAAGUGACUUUAACAAGUGACAUCCCUAAGGGAUCAUAAACUGACCAGGUGAAUCCAGGUAAAGGCUGUGUCAGGUGUUCUUAAUGUUUUGUAUUCUCACUGUAAGUAUUCUCUGUUUGAUUCAGCUUGUGUCUAUCUACUCUGUUCAAUGUGUUAUUUGUGUGUAUCAAUAUGUGACAUGUCUCCACUGUCUUUCCCAAAGGGGGAUACAGAGGCCCAGGAGGGGCCGGGGGUAGGGGAGGAUAUGGUAACGGAGGCCAGGGAGGCUAUGGUAAUGUCUACUACUUUACUUAACAAACAGGCUUGUUAAGAUGAAAUGUCUUAGUAACUUAGGUUUAAAUGAAAUCCACAAUGGUUAUAUGCCAAAAAUGUCUAACUCUUGCAGCAGUUUUCCUUGUUGAUUUAAAUAUUCACUCAUUUAUUUUAAUAAAUGUCUACAUUAUAUGACUUCUUCCCAUUUGUCUGAUUGGAGGUGCUGGUCUGG
This is a long non-coding RNA of Oncorhynchus mykiss (rainbow trout), 2035 nucleotides long. The record is from Ensembl. Lineage: Eukaryota; Metazoa; Chordata; Actinopteri; Salmoniformes; Salmonidae.